Cygnus olor (mute swan) is the source of this 1459-nucleotide long non-coding RNA. RefSeq lists it as uncharacterized. The record is from RefSeq and is a predicted model, not a curated record. The transcript has 3 exons. NCBI's taxonomy places the organism in Eukaryota, Metazoa, Chordata, Aves, Anseriformes, Anatidae.
GGAGGGGGGGGGUCGCGGGCCGGGUCACGGCGCGGCGGCGGCGAGGCGUCGGCCUGCGAGCGCGGGUCGGCCGCCGCGUUAUCAGGGGCUGUUAUCGCUUGUCAGGACCUCCGUCUCCCCGCAUUACGUCAGUUUCAAGACACCGACACUAUUAAUAUCAAAGGAGCCUUCGCGGAGGAAAGCGCCACCCCAGACGGAGCGCCCUUAAAGAGACAGCGCAGGCGGCCCCGCCGCGCCGCCCCCCCCUUCCCUCACACGCGGCCCCCCCUCAGGGCCGGGCCGGGCCGGGCCGGGCCGGCCCCCCCCCGGGGGCGGCCAUGAGCGGGGAGCGGGCCGGGCCGCCGAGGCUUUGGCCGAGUUGGGUGUCUGAGGAGCAGCCCGCAGGCCACAGCCGCAUCCCCAGCGCGGCCCCCGCGAGGUUUUGGUGCCUUUUUUUUUUUUUUUUUUUUUUUUAUCGAUCGCAUUGAUCGCUGGUGUACGGAUUUUAAAAAGUCACAACACCGCCACCAACACGGCCUCACAGCACCUCCACCACCUCACAAAAAUGACAACGACACCACCAGCACCACCUCAGAGCCGCUGCCCACCCGCGGGACAGGGCACGGGGGGGAUGCCCGGGGGGCUCUGCUCGCCCGUCUCCCCCUGCUGCACCGGACAGACAGACGGACAAUUCCCUAUUCUCGGCUGAACGUGCCCCGUGGGUGCCUUCUCGUUGACACCAAGCACAAAUUAGGUCUCGAGCUGCCCUGGAGAAGACCCUACAACUGCCCUCUCUGCUCUGAGCCUCUCCGACUCGAAACGCUCUGCUUUCUCCCCUGCCACAAAUUGCCAGGAGCCUGUAUGUUAGAGUAAAAAACUCUCUGAGGAGAAGCACUCAGGUUCUGUUGUUGCUGCCAAGCCAGACCAGAGUGGCUGUUCGUUCGGAGACACCUUGCCUGUGAAGGGUUAAAAUCAGCAGGAAAUGAUGCCCCCCACACCUUAAAUCCUCGCCAGCUCGCAUGUGUGCCUGCAGUUCUCCCAGAUUUUAGUCACAUUAUGACAAAUAAAACACGGAGAAGAUCGGUAACCAUGAAAGUGCAGGUUUCAACAUGUGGAAACCUUGAUAAUAAACACACCUUUUUUCACCUGUAGAACAAUAUGAGAUACGUAUUUGUAAAAGACAUAAGCUUUUUGUGCACAUGCUUUUAAAAUGAAACCGCAGAAGCUGUUCCUAAGCAGAGAUUAGAAAGACAAAAUGUGUCUUCAUAAUUUCAAGUCGACGACUUUAAUGAAAUGCUCUCAAGAAAACUAUGUUACAGUAUCUUUGUAAAAAAAGAAAAAAAUGCUUGCAUGAUACAUUCUGCAUUUCAAGUUAAAGCAGAUCAAGAAGAUGUCAAUAUCAAUCUGUUUAUAUUCACCACAACAGAACUGCAGAGAACUUAAUAAAAGCAAAAAUAUUUUCAUAAACUUUUUCAGGCAA